Molecule: ribosomal RNA, 522 nt
Filed under: uncultured bacterium
Lineage: Bacteria
Description: bacterial SSU rRNA
Rfam family: Bacterial small subunit ribosomal RNA
Source: RNAcentral
CCAGAGAAUUUAGCAGAGAUGCUUUAGUGCCUUCGGGAACUCUGAGACAGGUGCUGCAUGGCUGUCGUCAGCUCGUGUUGUGAAAUGUUGGGUUAAGUCUCGCAACGAGCGCAACCCUUAUCCUUUGUUGCCAGCACGUAAUGGUGGGAACUCAAAGGAGACUGCCGGUGAUAAACCGGAGGAAGGUGGGGAUGACGUCAAGUCAUCAUGGCCCUUACGAGUAGGGCUACACACGUGCUACAAUGGCGCAUACAAAGAGAAGCGACCUCGCGAGAGCAAGCGGACCUCAUAAAGUGCGUCGUAGUCCGGAUUGGAGUCUGCAACUCGACUCCAUGAAGUCGGAAUCGCUAGUAAUCGUAAAUCAGAAUGUUACGGUGAAUACGUUCCCGGGCCUUGUACACACCGCCCGUCACACCAUGGGAGUGGGUUGCAAAAGAAGUAGAUAGCUUAACCUUCGGGAGGGCGUUUACCACUUUGUGAUUCAUGACUGGGGUGAAGUCGUAACAAGGUAAGCGUAGUGCU